GACAGUGCUAGGACUGCUUUUUUCUAUAUCAGACACGUGGGCUCCUGCUGUGCCUUCCUGGAAAACAGAGGCCAAGGAUGGAGCAGACCAAGAGGAUGCCAGGAAAAAUCACAAAGAAGCCCAGAAAGCACAGCUGGAAGCCAAGAACCCUAUUUUUGGUUUGUGUGGGUGGAAGAUGAGGGACAAUAUAUAGUGACCAACAGGAUUCUUCAUCUGAAAGAGAAUGGAGUAUAUCAGACCUGUGUAUUUAGGUGAAGUAUGAUAAACAUAAUCAUACUUCAAAGAUUAUGAACAUCAAAGAUUAUGGAAAGGAACAUGACUGCUUAGUUUAUUCCACUACCAGUGAUCUGCUUGUUUGUUCAUUUGCUUACCCAUCCAUUCAUUUAUUCAUUCAUUCCUCCAUCCAUUCUCUUUGACUUAUUCUACAAUCAUGAUUGUAUGC
This 442-nucleotide long non-coding RNA is filed under the name Pongo abelii (Sumatran orangutan). RNAcentral's name for it is "lincRNA". The record is from RNAcentral. Lineage: Eukaryota; Metazoa; Chordata; Mammalia; Primates; Hominidae.